UAUAAAGAGUUAUAAAACCAAUUGACCGAUGUUUAAAAUUGUCAUACAUCUCACACACACGUAAACAUAUUUACGACAGCGUUGUUAGAGAAAAUAGGCAUUGCCUAGUGUUUCUUAUGCUGUCCAGUGUAAUGUAAAUGGAGGCGUUGCACCAUGGAACUCAUCGAGUUCAGUAUUCUUUAUGCGAAACACAUAAAAAUUACUAAAAAAGUAACAAAUAGUAUAUUUGAACGCAUAAUUUUAAAAAACAUAAUGGAUACGGUGCCAAAAUCUUAAAGUCUGAAUCAAAAGAGUUGCCUCUAAAUAUAAGGUCGACAAAUAUACUUAUAUUGGAUCAGAUGAUAAAAAUAUUCAUCGAUGUUUGUGUCUUGAAUUUGAACUGAUUCUAUGAAUGAUCACAGAGUAUUGAUUAUAUGGAUCCAAUAUCAGGUUCACGAGUUCCAAUUUCACCCAAACUACACAUAUAUCAGGCAAAAAUUUUACAUCAGAAAAAAGUCUGAAAUUUUCUAUUACCAUUUCAGAUCAGAAUCCAUACAGUUUCAUUCCCUAUCUUAUUAAUCAUAUUCAAACCAAAAUAAAUAAAUAGAAAUAUAUUUUGACAAGAACUUGCAAGCAUAUAUAAAUGUUUUGUAUCAGUUGCUAGGACAAAGUGGUUCCAAUUUUAUAAUUCCAAUUGGAAAGUAAUAAGUCUAGCUAAUAAGUGUAGUAGUAAUUUAAGCUAUGAGACAAGAGUGUAAUCAAUGAUUAAGCAACAUAACUAAGCUAUUUUCAAACAGGUCAACAUACACAAACGAGAACAAACAAAUCAAAUCCAGAUCCAUCAAAAUAAGAAAGCAAAAUCUAAAAACAGAAGGCGAAUAUCUCUGUUUUAUCCAAAUAUAAACGCUGUACAUUCAACAUACUUGUGUGACUCCACGAACCGACUCGCCGGAAUUGCGUGUUGCCGCCGUGUAAGGAUUUGGAAGCAGAAGGUGGCGAUGGAGGUAAAAAUGUUUCCGGUUCGUCGACUCAUCUGCGACCGGUCCAAAUCGGGCCGGUUCAUAGCGGCGCCGCCGUGUUAGGCGGUGAAGUAGAAGAUAGGUUGAAGAAGAAGGUAGAGGAAGAUGAAGCAAGUGCUUGACGCUGCUAAGAACACCAAUCCGUACAGAGUUCGAACCGCCAUUGAAGAAGAUUCUGGAGUUGAUAGGAAAGAGAUUUGAGAUUUAGAUCUGGAAAGUAGUGGUGGGGAAGUUCGAUUUUAAAUAAGAGACUGUAAAAGCUUCCUGAUUUGAAAUUUGAAUGUGAAAAAGGACUUAAAAGGGAAAAUGGAUAAGGCUAUAGCAAAAUAUAAUAAUUUUAAAGAAGAAUGAAGAUAAGGUUAAAGGUCUAUAGCAAUAACAAUUUACAAUAUUUUAAUCUAUUAAUUU
This 1406-nucleotide long non-coding RNA is filed under the name Nicotiana benthamiana. Its description in RNAcentral is "long non-coding RNA (NBEN_LNC018166)". Lineage: Eukaryota; Viridiplantae; Streptophyta; Magnoliopsida; Solanales; Solanaceae. The record is from RNAcentral.